UGUGGAGGUUAUAUACAGGGGGUACCUGUACAGAGACAAUGUGGAGGUUAUAUACAGGGGGUACCAGUACAGAGACAAUGUGGAGGCUAUAUACAGGGGGUACCUGUACAGAGACAAUGUGGAGGUUAUAUACAGGGGGUACCAGUACAGAGACAAUGUGGAGGUUAUAUACAGGGGGUACCAGUACAGAGUCAAUGUGGAGGUUAUAUACAGGGGGUACCAGUACAGAGACAAUGUGGAGGCUAUAUACAGGGGGUACCGGUACAGAGUCAAUGUGGAGGUUAUAUACAGGGGGUACCGGUACAGAGACAAUGUGGAGGCUAUAUACAGGGGGUACCAGUACAGAGACAAUGUGGAGGCUAUAUACAGGGGGUACCAGUACAGAGUCAAUGUGGAGGCUAUAUACAGGGGGUACCGGUACAGAGACAAUGUGGAGGUUAUAUACAGGGGGUACCAGUACAGAGACAAUGUGGAGGCUAUAUACAGGGGGUACCAGUACAGAGACAAUGUGGAGGCUAUAUACAGGGGGUACCAGUACAGAGACAAUGUGGAGGCUAUAUACAGGGGGUACCGGUACAGAGACAAUGUGUGGGGGCACCGGUUAGUUGAGGUAAUUGAAAUAAUAUGUACAUGUAGGUAGAGUUAAAGUGAUAGAUAAUUAACAGAGAGUAGCAGCAGCGUAAAAGAGGGGGGAAGG
Molecule: long non-coding RNA, 697 nt
Organism: Oncorhynchus tshawytscha (Chinook salmon)
Lineage: Eukaryota; Metazoa; Chordata; Actinopteri; Salmoniformes; Salmonidae
Source: Ensembl